AGAUGGGGGACCGCCUGGAGAGACUGGGCUGGAGGCUUUUGGAUUGCCUCUCCAUUCCCACUUUCCCCUACUAGUCACAAUGCUUCCCAACUGCCUCUUGACUCUCUAGUACCCUGUUUCCCACCCACCUGUGCCCCCCCCCCCGGUGGCCCGCUACACCCCUCCCCCCGUGGAAGUCAGUCUCGGCAUUCCCGGGCAUCAUAGCAACAUGAGGGUGCCCCAGCCCGGAAGGGCCCAGGACCUCCCAGUGGGUUUCCGUCCCAGCAGCCCGGGCGCCACAGCAGUCUGACAGCGCCCCAUCCCAGAAGCUCACCUGCACCCCUGCUGUGGAAGAAAACCUACCUAUAGGGGUACUCCCUGGCAGCCCAUGAAGCCAUAGUAGCCUGAAAGUGCUCAAGCCCAGAAAACAAUAGUUACUUCUGUGAGAUGAAUGGAAACUAUGUUCCAAUGGGAUCCAAAAUGUCCCUUCAAAAAUUCUACAAAAAGACUGCUUCCAAUCUGCUUAAUCAGAACAAAGGUUUAACUCCAUGAGAUGCAUCCAAACAUUGCAAAGCAUUUUCACAUAUAGCUUUUUUCUAGUUUUUAUCACGGGAUAUUCAUUUUUUCACUAUAGCCCCAAUUAGCUCCAAAAUGUCCAUUCAUAGAUUUUACAAAAACAGUGUUUCUAACAUGCUGAAUGAAAACAAAGGUUUAACUCUGUGAUAUGAAUCCACACAUUGGAAAGUG
Molecule: long non-coding RNA, 726 nt
Filed under: Homo sapiens (human)
Lineage: Eukaryota; Metazoa; Chordata; Mammalia; Primates; Hominidae
Description: long intergenic non-protein coding RNA 2167
Source: RNAcentral